UGGCAGUAUCAUGGCCACGGAUGAGC
This 26-nucleotide non-coding RNA is filed under the name Homo sapiens (human). Lineage: Eukaryota; Metazoa; Chordata; Mammalia; Primates; Hominidae. The record is from RNAcentral.